GAGAUUUCGGCGCCGCGGGCUGGCCGGCCUCCUCCUCUGCCGCCUGCUAGCCCCUCCCCGCGGCCCGAGGGCUGAUCUACAUGUUUAUUGAUUCCUACCGGUACUGAGGGGCCCAGAGACCCGAUUUCAAUGGCAUAGACAGUACACCCAAUCUUCCCUUUACUACUGGAGCUGCCCAAAUCGGAGAAGGCAAUGUUCAGAUCAAAGGGCACUUUUCCUGAGCCCCGACCGAGUACAGCGUUUUGAGGUGCCGGCUGACCUUGGCUGCUGUAGCUGACUUCGGGCAUUACAAACCUACACCAAAGACCGGAUUCAGGGGAAUAGCUAUUGAUUUGUUCAUCAGCGGGCAAAACAAGUGCGGGAAUAGUUGAGUAGGAAGUAUCACGGUGGAUAAAGGUAGGCUAGAGAAUCAGAUAUGGGGAUGAC
RNAcentral lists this long non-coding RNA (426 nucleotides) under Ursus maritimus (polar bear). Its description in RNAcentral is "lncRNA (ENSUMAG00000025196.1)". The record is from RNAcentral. Lineage: Eukaryota; Metazoa; Chordata; Mammalia; Carnivora; Ursidae.